Molecule: ribosomal RNA, 551 nt
Filed under: uncultured Actinomycetes bacterium
Lineage: Bacteria; Bacillati; Actinomycetota; Actinomycetes
Description: bacterial SSU rRNA
Rfam family: Bacterial small subunit ribosomal RNA
Source: RNAcentral
GGGGUAAUGGCCUACCAAGGCGAUGACGGGUAGCUGGCGUGAGAGCGCGACCAGCCACACUGGGACUGAGACACGGCCCAGACUCCUACGGGAGGCAGCAGUGGGGAAUAUUGCGCAAUGGGCGAAAGCCUGACGCAGCGACGCCGCGUGGGGGAUGACGGCCUUCGGGUUGUAAACCUCUUUCAGUACAGACGAAGCGCAAGUGACGGUAUGUACAGAAGAAGCACCGGCCAACUACGUGCCAGCAGCCGCGGUAAUACGUAGGGUGCGAGCGUUGUCCGGAAUUAUUGGGCGUAAAGAGCUCGUAGGCGGCUUGUCGCGUCGGUUGUGAAAGCCCGGGGCUUAACCCCGGGUCUGCAGUCGAUACGGGCAGGCUAGAGUUCGGUAGGGGAGAUCGGAAUUCCUGGUGUAGCGGUGAAAUGCGCAGAUAUCAGGAGGAACACCGGUGGCGAAGGCGGAUCUCUGGGCCGAUACUGACGCUGAGGAGCGAAAGCGUGGGGAGCGAACAGGAUUAGAUACCCUGGUAGUCCACGCCGUAAACGGUGGGCACU